AUGCGGACGCCCGCCGCGAUGCCGGAAAGCGCAAGGCCCGGGGCCAGUAUCCUCCCGAAGAUCAGAAUCAGAAUCAGAACCAGAACCCAGCCCGCCUCGCCGCAGGCUUUCGUGGCCCGGGCUGCUGAGGCUGGGACGCGCCUCGGCGCACACACGGGCGCUGGGCGUGUGACGGAGCCGGCGACGGCGGCGGGAGCUCCACCGCAGUUUCGUCAGCGGCAAAGACAGGAGCAACCCUGCCCUCUCCCGCUGAUCAUCUGGACCCCAUCGGAUAACACAUAUGAGAGCACCCAGUGCUUAACCAGGAGAUACAGCCUAAAUGGAAAACACGAGAAUCAACGCUGCCCCUCUGUCUCUAACUCUCUGGAUGUCUCUAUCACUCAACAGACACCUUUAAGAAAACUGUUAUCUACAGGUAUGAGUCACAGAUCAUAA
This 435-nucleotide long non-coding RNA is filed under the name Oryctolagus cuniculus (rabbit). RNAcentral describes it as "lncRNA (ENSOCUG00000032977.1)". Lineage: Eukaryota; Metazoa; Chordata; Mammalia; Lagomorpha; Leporidae. The record is from RNAcentral.